Molecule: unclassified non-coding RNA, 385 nt
Filed under: Hevea brasiliensis (rubber tree)
Lineage: Eukaryota; Viridiplantae; Streptophyta; Magnoliopsida; Malpighiales; Euphorbiaceae
Source: RNAcentral
AUUCUGGUUGGGCAUGAUUUCGGUGGUACAUGCAUAUCAUAUGCUAUGGAAAUGUUCCCGUCGAAGGUCGCCAAAGCUGUUUUCAUCUCUGCAGCUAUGCUGGCAAAUGGCCAAAGUACUCUCGACAUGUUCUCUCAAAAGGACGGCACUGAUUAUCUGAUGGGCCAGGCUCAGAUUUUUGUAUAUGCGAACGGGAAGGAUUCUCCCCCGACUUCCAUUGAUCUCGACAGAUCAUUGCUAAAAGAGUUGCUGUUUAAUCAGAGUCCUGUAAAGGAUGUUGCGCUGGCAUCGGUUUCCUUGAGGUCGAUUCCUUUUGCGCCGGUACUCGAGAAGCUCUCGCUCACCGACAAGAACUAUGGCUCAGUUAGGCGAUUCUACAUCGAGA